CCGCCGACGACCAUCGUAGGCUGCCGUGGGGGUCGAAAUCGCCGGCGCGAUUAUUGUGUUUUUCAGCCGAUACCGAGUCGAUGCACCGGCCAUCGCUUCGCGAGACCGCCUUCGUCGGUACAAGGAAAUGGAAGCAGAUUGCUGGAUUGGGACUUUACGGACAUAGAUCGCGAUGCUAGUAACGCAAUAUCGAGUCGAAAGAGUCUCGCGGUUCCGAUACGCGCGUGUGAUGACCCCGGUGCAUCGGCGGUGCGGAGAUAACACGCGCGCGGCGCGACCGAGUGCCCUUGAAUUAAAAUGAACAGGCGCCAUCUUGCCGUCGAGCGGUUUGCUCUUUGCCCCCUUCCAUCGAGCAAUUCGUGCCGAAGAUCGUCGCGACCAAUGGGAAUGCAUUCAGGAAACCACGUACGGUAUAGUAAUAACUUGUAGGAGGUAAUAUAUGUGUCUAUUUCAAAGGGCAAUAAUGCCUUCUGUAGCGGAUGACAACUUUUUUUCUACAGCCUGCCCUUGUGUUGUCUAUACAACCUUUUUCAAAAUUGCAUGAACCGCACAACAUAGCUUAUCUUCGUAUUGUUUAUACGAAGUUUAUAUUUCGUUUAUACAAUCAUGUUAAUAAAUCAUGUUAAUAAAAAUCUCUUUUAAAAUAGCAAUAAUUAAUAAUAUUUAUUCCUAUUAUACCACAUAAUUAUUGUAAUAGAAAUAAAAGAGAGAGGGAGAAGG
Cataglyphis hispanica is the source of this 720-nucleotide long non-coding RNA. RefSeq lists it as uncharacterized. The record is from RefSeq and is a predicted model, not a curated record. NCBI's taxonomy places the organism in Eukaryota, Metazoa, Arthropoda, Insecta, Hymenoptera, Formicidae. The transcript has 3 exons.